CUGAAUCAGUGUGUGUGUUAGUGGAAGCGUCUGGAAAGGCGCGCGAUACAGGGUGACAGCCCCGUACACAAAAAUGCACAUAUUGUGAGCUCGAUGAGUAGGGCGGGACACGUGGUAUCCUGUCUGAAUAUGGGGGGACCAUCCUCCAAGGCUAAAUACUCCUGACUGACCGAUAGUGAACCAGUACCGUGAGGGAAAGGCGAAAAGAACCCCGGCGAGGGGAGUGAAAAAGAACCUGAAACCGUGUACGUACAAGCAGUGGGAGCCUCUUAAUGGGGUGACUGCGUACCUUUUGUAUAAUGGGUCAGCGACUUAUAUUCUGUAGCAAGGUUAACCGAAUAGGGGAGCCGAAGGGAAACCGAGUCUUAACUGGGCGUUAAGUUGCAGGGUAUAGACCCGAAACCCGGUGAUCUAGCCAUGGGCAGGUUGAAGGUUGGGUAACACUAACUGGAGGACCGAACCGACUAAUGUUGAAAAAUUAGCGGAUGACUUGUGGCUGGGGGUGAAAGGCCAAUCAAACCGGGAGAUAGCUGGUUCUCCCCGAAAGCUAUUUAGGUAGCGCCUCGUGAAUUCAUCUCCGGGGGUAGAGCACUGUUUCGGCAAGGGGGUCAUCCCGACUUACCAACCCGAUGCAAACUGCGAAUACCGGAGAAUGUUAUCACGGGAGACACACGGCGGGUGCUAACGUCCGUCGUGAAGAGGGAAACAACCCAGACCGCCAGCUAAGGUCCCAAAGUCAUGGUUAAGUGGGAAACGAUGUGGGAAGGCCCAGACAGCCAGGAUGUUGGCUUAGAAGCAGCCAUCAUUUAAAGAAAGCGUAAUAGCUCACUGGUCGAGUCGGCCUGCGCGGAAGAUGUAACGGGGCUAAACCAUGCACCGAAGCUGCGGCAGCGACACUAUGUGUUGUUGGGUAGGGGAGCG
Molecule: ribosomal RNA, 921 nt
Filed under: Escherichia coli
Lineage: Bacteria; Pseudomonadati; Pseudomonadota; Gammaproteobacteria; Enterobacterales; Enterobacteriaceae
Description: partial 23S ribosomal RNA
Rfam family: Bacterial large subunit ribosomal RNA
Source: RNAcentral